AGUGAGGUGGCCGAGUAUAGGUGGUGGGCUGUAAACCUACUUACGGGAAGUUUUCUCUCUCGCUA
This 65-nucleotide transfer RNA is filed under the name Mimachlamys varia. RNAcentral describes it as "tRNA-Tyr". Lineage: Eukaryota; Metazoa; Mollusca; Bivalvia; Pectinida; Pectinidae. The record is from RNAcentral.